RNAcentral lists this ribosomal RNA (497 nucleotides) under uncultured bacterium. RNAcentral describes it as "partial 16S ribosomal RNA". It matches the Rfam family "Bacterial small subunit ribosomal RNA", at positions 28 to 507 of the family's 1533-position model. The record is from RNAcentral.
GAUGAACGCUGGCGGCGUGCCUAAUACAUGCAAGUCGAGCGAACAGACGAGGAGCUUGCUCCUCUGACGUUAGCGGCGGACGGGUGAGUAACACGUGGAUAACCUACCUAUAAGACUGGGAUAACUUCGGGAAACCGGAGCUAAUACCGGAUAAUAUAUUGAACCGCAUGGUUCAAUAGUGAAAGACGGUUUUGCUGUCACUUAUAGAUGGAUCCGCGCCGCAUUAGCUAGUUGGUAAGGUAACGGCUUACCAAGGCAACGAUGCGUAGCCGACCUGAGAGGGUGAUCGGCCACACUGGAACGGAGACACGGUCCAGACGCCUACGGGAGGCAGCAGUAGGGAAUCUUCCGCAAUGGGCGAAAGCCUGACGGAGCAACGCCGCGUGAGUGUUGAAGGUCUUCGGAUCGUAAAACUCUGUUAUGAGGGAAGAACAAAUGUGUAAGUAACUAUGCACGUCUUGACGGUACCUAAUCAGAAAGCCACGGCUAACUACGUG